Tupaia belangeri chinensis (Chinese tree shrew) is the source of this 605-nucleotide long non-coding RNA. RefSeq lists it as uncharacterized. The transcript has 3 exons. Lineage: Eukaryota; Metazoa; Chordata; Mammalia; Scandentia; Tupaiidae. The record is from RefSeq and is a predicted model, not a curated record.
GGAGCGCGCGGCUGCCGGGGGCGCUAGGGUAGGGAUGGCCGCAGCGUGGAGGCGGCGGAGGGACGCACCCCGCUGGUGGGAGUCCCCGGAGGGGAGCCGCCGCGGUCCCCGAGUCUCUGAGACGCUUCCCCUCCCUCCCGAGGCUCACUCCUCUGUUGGGACGCAAAGCUUCGGGUAACGAAGCGACGUCGUUCCGGAGAGGCAGACGAGCUGGAAGGGAAAGAAGAGAAUAAUGGGCCAAAGCCCAUUGGACAAUCCCAGAGGGCUUCUCCAAGGAGGCGACUUUGGAUGAAACCUGAGUGUUGAGACGGAGAUGGCCUGGAAAGGUCCCCAGGAAGGGUGUUCCGGAAGGAACAGCAAAUGCGAAGGCCCUACCUGGAGAGGUUGACAAGCUAGAGGGACUCAAGCCUAGAAAAGAGCUUGGACUUAGAUAUUAAUCAAAACCUCAAGAUUCCUCCUGACGUCCGUGGGAGUGAGCAACUACCACAAGACACGAAACACUGAGAAUGGUACCCGCACCAUUAGACGAUUGGAGAAGCAGACGGAAAUCCUUCCAGUCAGUAACUAUGGAUCAUGGGCCUACCGUAUACUAGGCAUGAUGCAGA